AACGAACGCUGGCGGCAGGCUUAACACAUGCAAGUCGAACGCACCGCCAGGGGAGUUGCUCACCGGUGAGUAACGCGUGGCUAUCUGCCUUUUGGUUCGUAAUCACCCCGGGAAACUGGGGUUAAUACCGGAAGGUUCCUACGGGAUAAAGUUUUAUCGCCAACCGAUGAGUCCGAGUACGAUUAGCUAGUUGGUAAGGUAAUGUCUCACCAAGGCGACGUUCGUCAGCUGGUCUGAGAGUACGAUCAGCCACACUGGAACUGAGACACGGCCCAGACUCCUACGCGAUGCAGCAGUGGGGAAUAUUGGACAACGGCGUCAACGCUGAACGAGCCAUGCCGCGUGAGUGAUGAAGGCCUGCGGGUUGUAAAGCGCAAUUGGCGGUGACGAUGUUGACGGUACCCGAAGAAUAAGCCACGGCUAACUACGUG
Molecule: ribosomal RNA, 431 nt
Filed under: uncultured bacterium
Lineage: Bacteria
Description: partial 16S ribosomal RNA
Rfam family: Bacterial small subunit ribosomal RNA
Source: RNAcentral